UACGUAGGGGCGAGCGUUGUCCGGAAUGAUUGGGCGUAAAGGGCGCGUAGGCGGCUUGUUAAGUCUGGAGUGGAAGUCCUCUUUUCAAGGGAGGAAUUGCUUUGGAAACUGGUCGACUUGAGUGCAGAAGAGGGGAAGUGGAAUUCCAUGUGUAGCGGUGAAAUGCGUAGAGAUAUGGAGGAACACCAGUGGCGAAGGCGGCUUCCUGGUCUGCAACUGACACUGAGGCGCGAAAGCGUGGGGAGCAAACAGGAUUAGAUACCCCCGUAGU
This 271-nucleotide ribosomal RNA is filed under the name uncultured prokaryote. Its description in RNAcentral is "partial 16S ribosomal RNA". It matches the Rfam family "Bacterial small subunit ribosomal RNA", at positions 524 to 794 of the family's 1533-position model. The record is from RNAcentral.